Molecule: transfer RNA, 70 nt
Filed under: Neotoma lepida (desert woodrat)
Lineage: Eukaryota; Metazoa; Chordata; Mammalia; Rodentia; Cricetidae
Rfam family: tRNA
About the family: Transfer RNA (tRNA) molecules are approximately 80 nucleotides in length. Their secondary structure includes four short double-helical elements and three loops (D, anti-codon, and T loops).
Source: Rfam by way of RNAcentral
GGGAAUGUAGCUCAGUUGGUAGAGUUAUUUGCCUAGCAUGCAAGAAACCUGGGUUUGAUCCCCAGUGCCA